CUGUAUGGCAGCCCAUUAAUUGUACUGGUUAUUCUACGUCUGCUAAUGGGCGCGAUUGAAGCGCCUGCCUUUCCGGCGAACAGUCGUUUAAGCGUACAAUGGUUUCCCAAUAAUGAACGAGGUUUCGUUACUUCAGUUUAUUAGGCUGCGCAAUAUAUUUCGCUGGGCAUUAUCGCCCCGCUAAUGACGAUCAUUCUGCAUAAUUUAAGCUGGCAUUUUGUCUUCUAUUAUAUUGGCGCCAUUGGUGUGAUGCUCGGUAUAUUCU
Molecule: unclassified non-coding RNA, 265 nt
Filed under: uncultured fungus
Lineage: Eukaryota; Fungi
Description: partial internal transcribed spacer 1
Source: RNAcentral